CCUACGGGUGGCAGCAGUGGGGAAUUUUGGACAAUGGGCGCAAGCCUGAUCCAGCUAUUCCGCGUGUGGGAUGAAGGCCCUCGGGUUGUAAACCACUUUUGUAGAGAACGAAAAGACACCUUUUAAUAAAGGGUGUUGCUGACGGUACUCUAAGAAUAAGCACCGGCUAACUACGUGCCAGCAGCCGCGGUAAUACGUAGGGUGCAAGCGUUAAUCGGAAUUACUGGGCGUAAAGGGUGCGCAGGCGGUUGAGUAAGACAGAUGUGAAAUCCCCGAGCUUAACUCGGGAAUGGCAUAUGUGACUGCUCGACUAGAGUGUGUCAGAGGGAGGUGGAAUUCCACGUGUAGCAGUGAAAUGCGUAGAUAUGUGGAAGAACACCGAUGGCGAAGGCAGCCUCCUGGGACAUAACUGACGCUCAGGCACGAAAGCGUGGGGAGCAAACAGGAUUAGAUACCCUUGUAGUC
RNAcentral lists this ribosomal RNA (465 nucleotides) under uncultured bacterium. Its description in RNAcentral is "bacterial SSU rRNA". It matches the Rfam family "Bacterial small subunit ribosomal RNA", at positions 338 to 795 of the family's 1533-position model. The record is from RNAcentral.